UACGUAGGGUGCAAGCGUUGUCCGGAAUUAUUGGGCGUAAAGAGCUUGUAGGCGGUUUGUCGCGUCUGCUGUGAAAUUUCGGGGCUCAACCCCGAACUUGCAGUGGGUACGGGCAGACUAGAGUGUGGUAGGGGAGACUGGAAUUCUUGGUGUAGCGGUGAAAUGCGUAGAUAUCAAGAGGAACACCUGAGGCGAAGGCGGGUUGCUAGGCUGACACUGACGCUGAGGCGCGAAAGCUAGGGUAGCAAACGGG
This 253-nucleotide ribosomal RNA is filed under the name uncultured bacterium. Its description in RNAcentral is "partial 16S ribosomal RNA". It matches the Rfam family "Bacterial small subunit ribosomal RNA", at positions 524 to 776 of the family's 1533-position model. The record is from RNAcentral.